AAUCACAGGGUUUUGAGAAUGAGGGGUGUAUUCUUUUUCUACAUUGGGGAAAGCCCUGAGAUUUUUUCCCCGGCUGUAAUUGACUGUCUUUAUAAUUUUAGAGUUAGUACAAUAUCGGACUCUCAUUACUGUUUCAUCCCUUUAUAAAAUAGGGCGCCCCAUUGAAGGACUUAUGUCUAAUUCCCCAACAUGGUUUCAAAGUUUCAACUAUCCAAUGUAUGUAAAGAGGGGAAGAAGUCUGAAAAAUGAAUUUUGUAUGAAGAUCUGAAUAUCAUUCUUA
Molecule: long non-coding RNA, 280 nt
Filed under: Trifolium pratense (red clover)
Lineage: Eukaryota; Viridiplantae; Streptophyta; Magnoliopsida; Fabales; Fabaceae
Description: long non-coding RNA (TPRA_LNC004325)
Source: RNAcentral